UCAGUGAAUACUCCAGCUGCUCUUACACGCCUGAUGUUGUUUCAAAUGUGUAUCCAGCAGCAAGCUCACAAUAUCAUUCCAAUAAUUCAGCAUACUAUAACAAUUCUGGAAGCAUCAGUGAAUCUACUGAACAAACAUAUCCGGUCAGGCCAGAAAGUAGAAAUGUUUCAAAGCAGAGGAGGUCUAAAGAGGGUGAGAAAAAAUCAGUCAAGAAAAGGCAUGAUGGAGAUGGCUCCUCUGGCAGAAUUGUGAACAAGACAUCUUUCCAGACCUCUGCAUGCAGCAGAUAUCCCUUGAAACCAGACAGGUUCAGUAGAGCUACAAACAGGAAG
This is a non-coding RNA of Tinamus guttatus (white-throated tinamou), 332 nucleotides long. The record is from RefSeq and is a predicted model, not a curated record. NCBI's taxonomy places the organism in Eukaryota, Metazoa, Chordata, Aves, Tinamiformes, Tinamidae.